CGCAGCUACAAAUCUUAGAUGGUACUUGUAGAAGAACUUCUGCUGAAUGGAAAAUAUCUGGGAUUCCUUGGUGGUCUGAGACACCCCAACUGUUAUUUGCUUCCUGUGACAUCUAAAUUUUGGAAGAGAUGCUCUCUGAAAGAAGAAGGUAAAGGAAAUAUCUCAUGAGUAGGGGAAGAUCCCAGAGAUGAGGUAGCUGUGUGGAGGCAAAUGCUAG
RNAcentral lists this long non-coding RNA (217 nucleotides) under Gallus gallus (chicken). Lineage: Eukaryota; Metazoa; Chordata; Aves; Galliformes; Phasianidae. The record is from RNAcentral.